GACGAACGCUGGCGGCGUGCCUAACACAUGCAAGUCGAACGGAGAGAUCCGACAGCUUGCUCUUGUACAUCUUAGUGGCAAACGGGUGAGUAACGCGUAACCAACCUGCCCCACGGAUGGGGACAACAGACGGAAACGACUGCUCAUACCCAAUAGACUCCCGGUUCGCAUGAGACCGACAGGAAAGGUGGCCUCUCGAAGAAGCUACCGCCGCAGGAGGGGUUUGCGUUUGAUUAGGUUGUUGGUGCGGUAACGGCGUACCAAGGCGAGGAUCAAGAGCAGGGCUGAGAUGAUGGACGGCCACACUGGAACGGUGACACGGUCCAGACGGCUACGGGAGGCAGCAGGGGUGCAUCGGGCGCAAUGGAUGAAAGACUGACGGAGCAACGCCGCGGGAUGGAAGAAGGCCUUCGGGUUGGAAAGCUCGGUUAUUCGGGAAUAACGAUUCUUUUGUAAAUAAGGAGCGGAAGUGACGGUACCGAAAGAGAAAGCCACGGCUAACUACGUG
This 508-nucleotide ribosomal RNA is filed under the name uncultured bacterium. RNAcentral's name for it is "partial 16S ribosomal RNA". It matches the Rfam family "Bacterial small subunit ribosomal RNA", at positions 28 to 507 of the family's 1533-position model. The record is from RNAcentral.